GUCCCCGUGGCACAAUUUGGAUAGCGCGGCGCCCUCCUAAGGCGCAGGUUGCAGGUUCGAACCCUGCCGGGGACGCCA
This 78-nucleotide transfer RNA is filed under the name Candidatus Saccharimonadota bacterium. Its description in RNAcentral is "tRNA-Arg". It matches the Rfam family "tRNA". From Rfam's summary of the family: Transfer RNA (tRNA) molecules are approximately 80 nucleotides in length. Lineage: Bacteria; Candidatus Saccharimonadota. The record is from RNAcentral.